RNAcentral lists this ribosomal RNA (334 nucleotides) under uncultured Pseudomonadota bacterium. RNAcentral describes it as "bacterial SSU rRNA". It matches the Rfam family "Bacterial small subunit ribosomal RNA", at positions 29 to 349 of the family's 1533-position model. The record is from RNAcentral. Lineage: Bacteria; Pseudomonadati; Pseudomonadota.
AACGAACGCUGGCGGCGUGCUUAACACAUGCAAGUCGAACGUGAUUGAGAGCUUGCUCUCAUGAAAGUGGCGCACGGGUGAGUAACACGUGGAUAAUCUGCCUGGCGAUUCGGGAUAACACUUCGAAAGGGGUGCUAAUACCGAAUAAGCCCACAGUCCCUUCGGGGGGUGCGGGAAAAGGGGGCCUCUGUAAAUGCUCCUGUCGCUAGAUGAGUCCGCGGCCCAUUAGCUAGUUGGCAGGGUAAUGGCCUACCAAGGCAACGAUGGUUAGCUGGUCUGAGAGGAUGAUCAGCCACACUGGAACUGAGACACGGUCCAGACUCCUACGGGUGGC